UGAUACAUUGCAAUAUUAAGUUUAUAUCUAAGGUUGUUUUCUUCCUGUGGCAAGCUAUUACU
Molecule: non-coding RNA, 62 nt
Filed under: Spodoptera frugiperda (fall armyworm)
Lineage: Eukaryota; Metazoa; Arthropoda; Insecta; Lepidoptera; Noctuidae
Source: RNAcentral